This 621-nucleotide ribosomal RNA is filed under the name uncultured bacterium. Its description in RNAcentral is "bacterial SSU rRNA". The stretch from base 1 to 543 matches the Rfam family "Bacterial small subunit ribosomal RNA", at positions 338 to 873 of the family's 1533-position model. The record is from RNAcentral.
CCUACGGGAGGCAGCAGUGGGGAAUUUUGGACAAUGGGCGCAAGCCUGAUCCAGCAAUGCCGCGUGAGUGAAGAAGGCCUUCGGGUUGUAAAGCUCUUUUGUCAGGGAAGAAACGGUGGGGGCUAAUAUCUCCUACUAAUGACGGUACCUGAAGAAUAAGCACCGGCUAACUACGUGCCAGCAGCCGCGGUAAUACGUAGGGUGCAAGCGUUAAUCGGAAUUACUGGGCGUAAAGCGUGCGCAGGCGGUUUUGUAAGUUCUGUCGUGAAAGCCCCGGGCUCAACCUGGGAAUUGCGAUGGAGACUGCAAGGCUUGAAUCUGGCAGAGGGGGGUAGAAUUCCACGUGUAGCAGUGAAAUGCGUAGAGAUGUGGAAGAACACCGAUGGCGAAGGCAGCCCCCUGGGUCAAGAUUGACGCUCAUGCACGAAAGCGUGGGGAGCAAACAGGAUUAGAUACCCUGGUAGUCCACGCCCUAAACGAUGUCUACUAGUUGUCGGGUUUUAAUUAACUUGGUAACGCAGCUAACGCGUGAAGUAGACCGCCUGGGGAGGUACGGUCGCGAAGUAGUAAACUUAGAAGUAAGUUAGAGNGNGNGAGNGCGAGACGACGACGAGGAGGAGG